GCUCAGGAAAAACGCAAGAGACGUGCCUAACACAUGCAAAUUUAAUGGUUAAUAAAUUAACUAUAGUGAAUUGGUGAGUAAAAUAUGAAAAUUUAAUUUUAGAUUGGAAGUAUUUCUAAUAACUUAGAAGUAAUCUCUGAUAAGUGCAUAUAUGUUGCUUUUAAAAAGUUAAUACUGUCUAAAAAAAAGUUCAUAUCUGAUUAGCUAGUUAGUAAUAUAAAAAUUUACUAAGGCGAAGAUCAGUAGCUGCCCUGAGAGGGGGACCAGCCACAUUGGGAUUGAAAUACAGCCCAAACUCCUACGGGAGGCUGCAGUGGGGAAUCUUCUGCAAUGAGCGCAAGCUUGACAGAGCGUCGUCACGUGAAGGAAGACAGCUUAUUUUUUAGUUGUAAACUUCUUUUACUUAAAAGUGAAUAUUGACACUUAAGUAAAUAAAGUAUCGGCAAACUCCGUGCCAGCAGCCGCGGUAAAACGGGGGAUACAAGCGUUAUCCGGAAUUACUGGGCGUAAAGCGUAUGUA
RNAcentral lists this ribosomal RNA (520 nucleotides) under Eimeria tenella. Its description in RNAcentral is "partial 16S ribosomal RNA". It matches the Rfam family "Bacterial small subunit ribosomal RNA", at positions 22 to 573 of the family's 1533-position model. The record is from RNAcentral. Lineage: Eukaryota; Apicomplexa; Conoidasida; Eucoccidiorida; Eimeriidae.